Molecule: ribosomal RNA, 618 nt
Filed under: Prevotella sp. oral taxon 298
Lineage: Bacteria; Pseudomonadati; Bacteroidota; Bacteroidia; Bacteroidales; Prevotellaceae
Description: bacterial SSU rRNA
Rfam family: Bacterial small subunit ribosomal RNA
Source: RNAcentral
GGUCAAUGGGCGAGAGCCUGAACCAGCCAAGUAGCGUGCAGGAUGACGGCCCUAUGGGUUGUAAACUGCUUUUGUAUGGGGAUAAAGUCAAUCACGUGUGAUUGUUUGCAGGUACCAUACGAAUAAGGACCGGCUAAUUCCGUGCCAGCAGCCGCGGUAAUACGGAAGGUCCGGGCGUUAUCCGGAUUUAUUGGGUUUAAAGGGAGCGUAGGCUGGAGAUUAAGUGUGUUGUGAAAUGUAGACGCUCAACGUCUGACUUGCAGCGCAUACUGGUUUCCUUGAGUACGCACAACGUUGGCGGAAUUCGUCGUGUAGCGGUGAAAUGCUUAGAUAUGACGAAGAACUCCGAUUGCGAAGGCAGCUGACGGGAGCGUAACUGACGCUGAAGCUCGAAGGUGCGGGUAUCGAACAGGAUUAGAUACCCUGGUAGUCCGCACAGUAAACGAUGGAUGCCCGCUGUUGGUACCUGGUAUCAGCGGCUAAGCGAAAGCAUUAAGCAUCCCACCUGGGGAGUACGCCGGCAACGGUGAAACUCAAAGGAAUUGACGGGGGCCCGCACAAGCGGAGGAACAUGUGGUUUAAUUCGAUGAUACGCGAGGAACCUUACCCGGGCUUGAA